GCGGCCAGGAGCCUGCCUCGCAGCGUUCAGCGGAGGAUCCCAGUGAGGCCCGCAGAGACUCAGGUCUGGGCGGGAGGCGGGGCCCAGAAGCUGUGGUCAGACCUGCAGUCCCAGUCCACAAAAUGGGAGGGAGGGUGUAGAUGUGAAUUUGGGGAAAAGCGACCCUGUGGAAUUUCUAGAGUGGAAGAAACGUAGAACUAGCUUUUCUCUUUGCUUAACACAUCCAAAUGGAAAAACAGCGACACCGUUACCUACAUUUACUAGUCCAAUGCGUACAACCUUCUGUAGUAUAUCAAUUGCCAAUGAGUUUAAUGUUUUUUAAAAAAUCACCCCAGAGAAGGGUUCUAAAAAUUCAGAAACCGCAUUACCAGCCCGCAUUGUAAAGUCUGUUUUGUUUUGUUUUGUUUUGUUUGUUUUUCAGACAGUCUUGCUCUGUCGCCCAGGCUGGAGUGGAGUGGUGAAAUCUCAGCUAACAGCAACCUUUGCCUCCUGGGUUCAAGCUAUUCCCCUGCUUCAGUCUCCGGAGUAGCUGGAAUUAUAGGGGCGUGAGCCAAUCGUGUGCGGCCUGGGGUGAACCUUUUUAAUGAGCAUUUAUUAUUUGCCAUUCACAAUGCCAAGUGUCAUGAUGAAUGAAAAUGUCUUGGAAUUAGAGGUGGUGGUUGCACACAUUAUAAAUGUAUUAAAGUACACCUCAAAAUAAAAUCCGAACACAUUAAGUGGUUACUCCCAUUCUUCCCUCUCUCAGCCCCUGGUAAAUGCCAAUCAGCUUUCACACUGUGGUACCUAAUAUGGAUAUUUCAUAUAAAUGGAAUGUGUGACCUCUUGGUCUGUUUUCUUAGCAUGAUCUUUUGCAGGUUCACCUUGUACACCUUGUGGCAUGUAUCAGUUCUUCAUUUCCCUUUAUGGCUACUAUUCCACUGUACCUAGAUGCCACAGUUUUACCUGUCCAUCCACUGAUGGACAUUUGGGUUGUUUCCACUUUCGGGCUAUUGUGAAUAGUGAUUAUAUGAACAUUUGUAUAUAAAUAUUUGUUCAAGUCCCUGUUUUCGAUUCUUUUGGGUAUAAACAUA
This 1070-nucleotide long non-coding RNA is filed under the name Macaca mulatta (Rhesus monkey). RNAcentral describes it as "lncRNA (ENSMMUG00000063835.1)". Lineage: Eukaryota; Metazoa; Chordata; Mammalia; Primates; Cercopithecidae. The record is from RNAcentral.